CUGGACUUAAGCCCCAAAUAUAAAGUUAACCUUUUUUUAGAA
Molecule: transfer RNA, 42 nt
Filed under: Allotraeus asiaticus
Lineage: Eukaryota; Metazoa; Arthropoda; Insecta; Coleoptera; Cerambycidae
Description: partial tRNA-Leu
Source: RNAcentral